AAGGAACGCUGGCAGCGUGCAUAACACAUGCAAGUCGAACGAUGAAGCAUUCUUCGGAAUGUGGAAGAGUGGCGAACGGGUGAGGAACACGUAAGAAUCUGCCCCUCGGUCGGGGACAACUCUUGGAAACGAGAGCUAAUACCCGAUACGCUGUGGAGUGAAAGAAUUUCGCCGAGGGAUGAUCUUGCGUCUGAUUAGCUAGUUGGUGUGGUAAUGGCAUACCAAGGCGACGAUCAGUAGCUGGUCUGAGAGGAUGGACAGCCACAUUGGAACUGAGACACGGUCCAAACUCCUACGGGAGGCAGCAGUGGGGAAUUUUCCGCAAUGGACGAAAGUCUGACGGAGCGACGCUGCGUGAAGGAUGACGGCCCGCGGGUUGUAAACUUCUUUUCUCGAAGAAGAAUCAAUGACGGUAUUCGAGGAAUAAGCAUCGGCUAACUCCGUG
This 445-nucleotide ribosomal RNA is filed under the name uncultured bacterium. RNAcentral's name for it is "bacterial SSU rRNA". It matches the Rfam family "Bacterial small subunit ribosomal RNA", at positions 31 to 507 of the family's 1533-position model. The record is from RNAcentral.